GGGGAGCAAGCGUUAUCCGGAAUCAUUGGGCGUAAAGCGCCUGUAGGUUGUUUAUUAAGUCUGUGGUUAAAGACUAGGGCUCAACCCUAGGAAAGCAAUGGAAACUAAUAGACUAGAGUAUGGCAGGGGUAGAGGGAAUUUCUAGUGUAGCGGUGAAAUGCGUAGAUAUUAGAAAGAACACCGGUGGCGAAAGCGCUCUACUGGACCAUUACUGACACUGAGAGGCGAAAGCUAGGGGAGCGAAAGGGAUUAGAUACCCCUGUAGUCCUAGCCGUAAACGAUGGAUACUAGAUGUUGUGCAAUUUGGACAGUAUCGUAGCUAACGCGUUAAGUAUCCCGCCUGGGGAGUACGCUCGCAAGGGUGAAACUCAAAGGAAUUGACGGGGGCCCGCACAAGCGGUGGAGCAUGUGGUUUAAUUCGAUGCAACGCGAAGAACCUUACCAGGGCUUGACAUACUACAGAUUUUUUUGAGAAAGAAGAGUGCCUUCGGGAAUGUAGAUACAGGUGGUGCAUGGCUGUCGUCAGCUCGUGUCGGGAGAUGUUGGGUUAAGUCCCGCAACGAGCGCAACCCUCGUUUUUAGUUGCCAAUUUAUUGGGAUCUCUAGAAAGACUGCCGGUGACAAACCGGAGGAAGGUGAGGAUGACGUUAAGUCAGCAUGCCCCUUAUGUCUUGGGCCACACACGUGCUACAAUGGUAAAGACAAAGAGUCCCCCAUUCGCGAGAAUGAGCUAAUCUCAU
RNAcentral lists this ribosomal RNA (740 nucleotides) under uncultured marine haptophyte. Its description in RNAcentral is "bacterial SSU rRNA". It matches the Rfam family "Bacterial small subunit ribosomal RNA", at positions 529 to 1277 of the family's 1533-position model. The record is from RNAcentral. Lineage: Eukaryota; Haptophyta.